UUGACAGCACUAGAAAGAAGUCUUGUUUAUUCAUGGGACAGGUACCUCAUGGGCAACUGCAGUACAAGCUUCCCCAUGUUGCCCUGCCAGUGUGCUUCAAUGCUCAAAGGGAUUGCCAUGGGUUGAGAAGGUAAUUCAGUCUACAUGCCCAAUCAAUCUAACGCCUCU
This is an unclassified non-coding RNA of Chelonoidis abingdonii (Abingdon island giant tortoise), 168 nucleotides long. NCBI's taxonomy places the organism in Eukaryota, Metazoa, Chordata, Testudines, Testudinidae. The record is from Ensembl.